UACCAAUUUUUCGAAUAUUUU
Molecule: non-coding RNA, 21 nt
Filed under: Caenorhabditis elegans
Lineage: Eukaryota; Metazoa; Nematoda; Chromadorea; Rhabditida; Rhabditidae
Source: RNAcentral